RNAcentral lists this ribosomal RNA (258 nucleotides) under Triticum aestivum (bread wheat). RNAcentral describes it as "partial small subunit ribosomal RNA". The record is from RNAcentral. Lineage: Eukaryota; Viridiplantae; Streptophyta; Magnoliopsida; Poales; Poaceae.
AGCAGGAAGGAUGAGCUCCUCCGCCUCCUGCUCCCCGCGUGGAUCGACCGCCGGGACAGGACGAGCUCCUCCGCCCCCGACGGCUCGAGUUCGUGCCGGUGCUGUUGGGUGGAGCCGUCUCUACGUCCCUCCCUCCCUGCAGGUACCUAACCUGACGUUCCUAACCUACGUUUGGUUACGUGUACUCCUCCUCUAUACGUUCGGUCCGGUACUGGAUUUCUACAGGAACCUCUUCUACCGGUAACCUCACAUCCCCUC